GAGAGCAUGUGCACACCUGUCAUUUUUAUAUUUCCACCUGUGCACCUUUUGUAGUUCUGGAAUAUCCUUUAUGGUUAGUUUUAACCGUAUCAUGAGAGACUGCUGUGCUAUAUAAGCCAGCUUUCUUUUGUAUUUUCCAGAUCUAUGUCUUUCAUAUACACCCUGUAUGUUAAGGAAUGAACAUUUAAGGCCCUUAAAAGCCUAUAUAAAAAACAAUAUACAACUUUCAGCAACGGAUCUCUUGGCUCUCGCAUCGAUGAAGAACGCAGCGAAAUGCGAUAAGUAAUGUGAAUUGCAGAAUUCAGUGAAUCAUCGAAUCUUUGAACGCACCUUGCGCUCCUUGGUAUUCCGAGGAGCAUGCCUGUUUGAGUGUCAUUAAAUCAUCAAACAUUAUGAUUUUAAAAGAUUGUAGUGUUUGGAUAUGGAAGUGUUGUUGGCCUUUUCUUUGGUCAGCUCUUCUUAAAUUCAUUAGCCAGGAGCUUUUGUAACUGUCUAUUGGUGUGAUAAUUAUCUAUGCCAUCGAAAGCUACACUUUUAUAAGACUUCUGCUUCUAACUGUCUAUUGGACAAUUUUUGACAAUUUGACCUCAAAUCAGGUAGGACUACCCGCUGAACUUAAGCAUAUCAAUAAGCGGAGGAAAAGAAACUAACAAGGAUUCCCCUAGUAACUGCGAGUGAAGCGGGAAAAGCUC
RNAcentral lists this ribosomal RNA (692 nucleotides) under uncultured fungus. RNAcentral's name for it is "eukaryotic LSU rRNA". The stretch from base 222 to 375 matches the Rfam family "5.8S ribosomal RNA". Lineage: Eukaryota; Fungi. The record is from RNAcentral.